Molecule: long non-coding RNA, 200 nt
Filed under: Jatropha curcas
Lineage: Eukaryota; Viridiplantae; Streptophyta; Magnoliopsida; Malpighiales; Euphorbiaceae
Description: long non-coding RNA (JCUR_LNC002415)
Source: RNAcentral
UCCCUUGUUUAUCAAGUGCAAUGAUAAACACCAGGAGGUUAUGUGUUUCCAGCUGAUAUACCAAAGAAUUUUAAUUUGAACAGUAGUUGUUUAAAGAUAAACAGUAUCCGUUUUAAUCUGAACAGUUAAUGAACAGUAUAUGUUUAUGAACAAUAUUUCUGAUGUGGAAGAUCACACGAAGGUGCAACCACAGAGCAUAC